AGCUUUGGAAGUGGCAGUAUCGUAGCCAAUGAGGUUUAUCCGAGGCGCGAUUAUUACUAAUUGGAAGA
Molecule: small nuclear RNA, 68 nt
Filed under: Mustela putorius furo (domestic ferret)
Lineage: Eukaryota; Metazoa; Chordata; Mammalia; Carnivora; Mustelidae
Description: U4 spliceosomal RNA
Rfam family: U4 spliceosomal RNA
About the family: U4 small nuclear RNA (U4 snRNA) is a component of the major U2-dependent spliceosome. The structure of U4 snRNA from yeast and human has been reported.
Source: Rfam by way of RNAcentral